GGAUGGUCAUGCAUGCUGCACAUCACCAUGCUUCUGGCAUGACUUCAGCAAAACUGGUCAGAGCUCCUUCCAGAGCUAAAACAACACAAGAUCAAGCUCUGGAUGGGAGUACAUGUUUUCACAGAAGACCAAGAGUACAGUGCAAAAGAAAAGACAUCAGUGCCUAGGGUAUGGAAUUAGGAGGUAAUGGAAGGUGGGUGAGAGAAUUCAUAUUCUUCUGAAUCAG
This 226-nucleotide long non-coding RNA is filed under the name Gallus gallus (chicken). The record is from RNAcentral. Lineage: Eukaryota; Metazoa; Chordata; Aves; Galliformes; Phasianidae.